CGCGUAGGCGGUUAUUUAAGUCAGAGGUGAAAACUACCGGCUCAACCGGUAGCCUGCCUUUGAAACUGGAUAACUUGAGGGCAGGAGAGGGGAGUGGAAUUCCCAGUGUAGCGGUGAAAUGCGUAGAUAUUGGGAGGAACACCAGUGGCGAAGGCGGCUCUCUGGCCUGUUUCUGACGCUGAGGCGCGAAAGCGUGGGGAGCGAACGGG
RNAcentral lists this ribosomal RNA (209 nucleotides) under uncultured Peptococcaceae bacterium. Its description in RNAcentral is "partial 16S ribosomal RNA". It matches the Rfam family "Bacterial small subunit ribosomal RNA", at positions 568 to 776 of the family's 1533-position model. The record is from RNAcentral. Lineage: Bacteria; Bacillati; Bacillota; Clostridia; Eubacteriales; Peptococcaceae.